RNAcentral lists this ribosomal RNA (474 nucleotides) under Triticum aestivum (bread wheat). RNAcentral's name for it is "partial small subunit ribosomal RNA". Lineage: Eukaryota; Viridiplantae; Streptophyta; Magnoliopsida; Poales; Poaceae. The record is from RNAcentral.
AUGCCAAACUGGAGCAAGUCUGCUAUUAUUUUCAGCAGGAAUGUCAAUGCCAUCAAUAAGGAGGGUAUUAAAAGAAUUUUUCCGGUGCAGGAUAUUAGCGAUAGUUCUAUCUAUUUAGGACAUCCUUUAAUCCUCCCUGACAAAGAUAGAUCCAGUGCUUAUGAUUUUGUUGCCGACAAAUUUAAAGUUAAAUUGACCGGCUAUAAGGCCAACAAACUUUCACAUGCAGCUAGAUUAACUCUGAUCAAUUCAGUUUUCGCUUCCAUCCCUGUCUACUAUAUGUCAAAUAUCCUUUUCUCUAGGAAACUUAUUGCCAAACUUACUUCUAUCAUUAGGAAUUUUUGGUGGACAGGAAUAAAAGAAGACCCAUCAAAGAAAGCUCUUUGCCUUAGGGCAUGGAAGGACAUUUGCACCCCAAAAGUUGAAGGGGGGCUAGGAAUCAAGAACAUCCAAGCAGUAAAUAGAGGACUAAUC